UACGUAGGGGGCAAGCGUUGUCCGGAAUCAUUGGGCGUAAAGAGCGUGUAGGCGGCCGUACAGGUCAGCUGUGAAAACUCGAGGCUCAACCUCGAGACGUCGGUUGAAACCGUACGGCUAGAGUCCGGAAGAGGAGAGUGGAAUUCCCGGUGUAGCGGUGAAAUGCGCAGAUAUCAGGAGGAACACCGGUGGCGAAGGCGGUUCUCUGGGCAUGUCCUGACGCUGAGGAGCGAAAGUGUGGGGAGCGAACAGG
This 253-nucleotide ribosomal RNA is filed under the name uncultured bacterium. RNAcentral's name for it is "partial 16S ribosomal RNA". It matches the Rfam family "Bacterial small subunit ribosomal RNA", at positions 524 to 776 of the family's 1533-position model. The record is from RNAcentral.